CUGGGAUGAUGAGAUUCCACUUCACUGGUCCGUGUUUCUGAGCCCCGUGAUCUGGUGGAAGUUCUGACUUG
This 71-nucleotide small nucleolar RNA is filed under the name Opisthocomus hoazin. RNAcentral's name for it is "Small nucleolar RNA SNORD18". It matches the Rfam family "Small nucleolar RNA SNORD18". Rfam says of the family: U18 is a member of the C/D class of snoRNA which contain the C (UGAUGA) and D (CUGA) box motifs. It is encoded in introns of ribosomal protein L1 in Xenopus and human, and in introns of elongation factor 1 beta in yeast. The record is from Rfam by way of RNAcentral. Lineage: Eukaryota; Metazoa; Chordata; Aves; Opisthocomiformes; Opisthocomidae.